RNAcentral lists this ribosomal RNA (465 nucleotides) under uncultured bacterium. Its description in RNAcentral is "bacterial SSU rRNA". It matches the Rfam family "Bacterial small subunit ribosomal RNA", at positions 338 to 795 of the family's 1533-position model. The record is from RNAcentral.
CCUACGGGUGGCUGCAGUAGGGAAUCUUCCACAAUGGACGAAAGUCUGAUGGAGCAACGCCGCGUGAGUGAAGAAGGUUUUCGGAUCGUAAAACUCUGUUGUAAGGGAAGAACAAGUACAGUAGUAACUGGCUGUACCUUGACGGUACCUUAUUAGAAAGCCACGGCUAACUACGUGCCAGCAGCCGCGGUAAUACGUAGGUGGCAAGCGUUGUCCGGAAUUAUUGGGCGUAAAGCGCGCGCAGGCGGUCCUUUAAGUCUGAUGUGAAAGCCCACGGCUCAACCGUGGAGGGUCAUUGGAAACUGGAGGACUUGAGUGCAGAAGAGGAAAGUGGAAUUCCAAGUGUAGCGGUGAAAUGCGUAGAGAUUUGGAGGAACACCAGUGGCGAGGGCGACUUUCUGGUCUGUAACUGACGCUGAGGCGCGAAAGCGUGGGGAGCAAACAGGAUUAGAUACCCUGGUAGUC